Molecule: ribosomal RNA, 799 nt
Filed under: uncultured bacterium
Lineage: Bacteria
Description: bacterial SSU rRNA
Rfam family: Bacterial small subunit ribosomal RNA
Source: RNAcentral
AGUGGCGGACGGGUGAGUAACGCGUAAGAANCUAACUUCAGGACGGGGACAACAGUUGGAAACGACUGCUAAUACCCGAUGUGCCGAAAGGUGAAACCUAAUUGGCCUGAAGAAGAGCUUGCGUCUGAUUAGCUAGUUGGUGGGGUAAAGGCCUACCAAGGCGACGAUCAGUAGCUGGUCUGAGAGGAUGAGCAGCCACACUGGGACUGAGACACGGCCCAGACUCCUACGGGAGGCAGCAGUGGGGAAUUUUCCGCAAUGGGCGAAAGCCUGACGGAGCAACGCCGCGUGAGGGAGGAAGGUCUUUGGAUUGUAAACCUCUUUUCUCAAGGAAGAAGUUCUGACGGUACUUGAGGAAUCAGCCUCGGCUAACUCCGUGCCAGCAGCCGCGGUAAUACGGGGGAGGCAAGCGUUAUCCGGAAUUAUUGGGCGUAAAGCGUCCGCAGGUGGUCAGCCAAGUCUGCCGUCAAAUCAGGUUGCUUAACGACCUAAAGGCGGUGGAAACUGGCAGACUAGAGAGCAGUAGGGGUAGCAGGAAUUCCCAGUGUAGCGGUGAAAUGCGUAGAGAUUGGGAAGAACAUCAGUGGCGAAAGCGUGCUACUGGGCUGUAUCUGACACUCAGGGACGAAAGCUAGGGGANCGAAAGGGAUUAGAUACCCCUGUAGUCCUAGCCGUAAACGAUGGAUACUAGGCGUGGCUUGUAUCGACCCGAGCCGUGCCGAAGCUAACGCGUUAAGUAUCCCGCCUGGGGAGUACGCACGCAAGUGUGAAACUCANGGAAUUGACGGGGGCCCGCACA